AGAUACCCUAUUAUACUGAUAGAUAAAUAGAAAUACCAGAUUAUUAAUAGAUAUGUUCUUGAAAUUUAAAGAAUUUGGCGGUGAUUUAGUCUAAUUAGAGGAACCUGUUUUUAAAUCGAUAAACCACGUAAGAUCUUGCUUAUCUUAUAAGUUAAGUUUGUAUACCGUCAUUAGCAGAUAAUUUUUAAAGAAGAAAUUAUUAAGGACAAAAUAUAGUUUUAAUUGAUUAAAUUAGAUCAAGGUGCAGCUCAUAGGUAAGUUAAAAUGGGUUACAAUAAAUUUUAUUUAUUAUGGAUAUUUAAUGGAAGGCAUUAAUUGGAAGGAGGAUUUGAUUGUAAUAUAAGUUUAAUAUGCUUAGGAGACAUAAGCUCUAAAUCAUGUACAUAUCGCCCGUCACUCUCAAAA
RNAcentral lists this ribosomal RNA (405 nucleotides) under Carpilius convexus. Its description in RNAcentral is "partial 12S ribosomal RNA". Lineage: Eukaryota; Metazoa; Arthropoda; Malacostraca; Decapoda; Carpiliidae. The record is from RNAcentral.